RNAcentral lists this ribosomal RNA (449 nucleotides) under uncultured bacterium. Its description in RNAcentral is "partial 16S ribosomal RNA". It matches the Rfam family "Bacterial small subunit ribosomal RNA", at positions 29 to 523 of the family's 1533-position model. The record is from RNAcentral.
AGCGAACGCUGGCGGCAAGCUUAACACAUGCAAGUCGAACGAUGUAGCAAUACAUAGUGGCGGACGGGUGCAUAACACGUGGGUAUCUGCCUUUAGGUACGGAAUAACUCAGGGAAACUUGAGCUAAUACCGUAUAAUAUCUCUGGAUCAAAGAUUUAUCGCCUAAAGAUGAGCCCGCGGCAGAUUAGCUAGUUGGUGGGGUAAUGGCCUACCAAGGCGACGAUCUGUAGCUGGUCUUAGAGGAUGAUCAGCCACACUGGGAGUGAGACACGGCCCAGACCCCUACGGGAGGCAGCAGUGGGGAAUAUUGGACAAUGGGGGCAACCCUGAUCCAGCUAUGCCGCGUGAGUGAUGAAGGCCUUAGGGUUGUAAAGCUCUUUUAGAUGGGAAGAUAAUGACGGUACCAUCAGAAAAAGCCCCGGCUAACUUCGUGCCAGCCGCCGCGGUAA